Molecule: transfer RNA, 74 nt
Filed under: Turnera subulata
Lineage: Eukaryota; Viridiplantae; Streptophyta; Magnoliopsida; Malpighiales; Passifloraceae
Description: tRNA-Lys
Rfam family: tRNA (bases 8-66)
About the family: Transfer RNA (tRNA) molecules are approximately 80 nucleotides in length. Their secondary structure includes four short double-helical elements and three loops (D, anti-codon, and T loops).
Source: RNAcentral
ACUGGUCUAGCUCAGUCGGUGGAGCGCAAGUCUCUUAACUUUGUGGUUGUGGGUUCGAGCCCCAACGUUUCACG